RNAcentral lists this ribosomal RNA (253 nucleotides) under uncultured bacterium. Its description in RNAcentral is "partial 16S ribosomal RNA". It matches the Rfam family "Bacterial small subunit ribosomal RNA", at positions 524 to 776 of the family's 1533-position model. The record is from RNAcentral.
UACAGAGGGUGCGAGCGUUAAUCGGAAUUACUGGGCGUAAAGCGCACGUAGGCGGCUUGGUAUGUCGGGUGUGAAAUCCCCGGGCUCAACCUGGGAACUGCAUCCGAAACUGCCUUGCUAGAGUAUGGGAGAGGGAAGUGGAAUUUCCGGUGUAGCGGUGAAAUGCGUAGAUAUCUGGAGGAACACCGGUGGCGAAGGCGGCAUCCUGGACCGACACUGACGCUGAGGAGCGAAAGCCAGGGGAGCAAACGGG